This is a long non-coding RNA of Canis lupus familiaris (dog), 1336 nucleotides long. RefSeq lists it as uncharacterized. Lineage: Eukaryota; Metazoa; Chordata; Mammalia; Carnivora; Canidae. The transcript is spliced from 4 exons. The record is from RefSeq and is a predicted model, not a curated record.
CAAGCAUGUAGAGCCAUCUGAUAUUGCCACGGAAUCAGAAACAUGUCCUGCUGACCAGCGUAUAGGGUUCAGUUCAGAUAGAGCUCUGGUGGCGGGGUCACUCGUGGCAGGAACUGUGAACCUGACUUGCACAGUGGAAUACACAUCUGUCACAAUGGGCUGCAAACACCAAACACAAACAAGCUGUCCUUUGCCUCAGAAAGCCUGUUGUGAGCCUGGGGGUCACAUCCAGAGGGCCAGAUGUUCAGAAGGAGAGAAGUAAUGCUCUGGAGACCAAAUGUUCCAUGACUGACACUUCGUUCUGAAAAAAGAAACCAGGGCAAAUGGACUUUUCAAACCAUUUGGUGAUAAAAUCUGGAGAAAUGAAAUUUUAAGUAACAAAGGCUGGCUCUCUAAAUUCUAUGAUCUACGAAGGAAAAAGGGGAGUCCCUGUGACACGUGGUACAGCCCAACAGAGAGUGAGACACCAGUGCCAUCUACCAACCCCACGUACUGACUGCUUUCACAUGAUGGGCACUCAGAAAAGACUUGCUUGCAAUGGGAUCUUUGUUGACUUGAUCUGACCACUUUAAUCCCAAUCUCCAGAGGGCCACUCGGCAAAGUCUGGUUCCAGGAGGGAGGCCAGGAGGGGGAAGUCACAAGAGCAGAACUCUGUGGAGUCAAAGCCAGAGGCCAUGGGCAUGGAGGACCACCAGUCAACCACUCACUGUUUUAGCUGACUUCAGGAACAAGUAGGGAUUGGACUGACAGAGAUCAAAAUAUAGGCUUGAUCAUAAGACUCAACUCAGGUGGCCCCCAAUGGCAUUUGGCAAGUGUGCUGCAUGUCCCGGCCACACAUGCCCUUUCACGCUUCUGGCUGGCUGUUCCUCGUCUUUUCUGUGCUCUUCAAACUGCCAGCUCCUUAUGCUCCAUCUUCAGGGGCCCUGUUGUGAGCACAGGCGGCACUGCUCUCCAAUGUUAACCAGUUUGGGAAAGUGAACCUCACAGAAGCUAAGUGAUUCAUCCAAAGUGAGACACACAGAGCACGCGGCAGAGCUUAAAGGUCUGCAGGCCCUGUAAUUUCACAAGCAUCCUUAAACGUGGAAGAGGGAGGCAGGCGACAGAGGGAGUGUCAUGAAAUGGGAGAAGGACUCAAUCUAAUGCUGCCUGCUUUGAAGAUAGAGUGGAAGAGACAAGGAACGUGGUCAGCCGCUAAAAAUUAGGAAAGGGAAGGAAAUAGAUUCUCUUCUACAGUCUCCCCAGAAAAGAACACAGUCCUGCCAACACCUGGAUUUCAGCCUAGGAAGAAAGACCUCUGUCUACAAAAUCAUAAGAUAAUAAAUUUUUGUUGUUUUAA